AACGAACGCUGGCGGCAUGCCUAACACAUGCAAGUCGAACGAGACCUUCGGGUCUAGUGGCGCACGGGUGCGUAACGCGUGGGAACCUGCCCUUAGGUUCGGAAUAACUCCCCGAAAGGGGUGCUAAUACCGGAUAAUGUCUUCGGACCAAAGAUUUAUCGCCUUUGGAUGGGCCCGCGUUGGAUUAGCUAGUUGGUAGGGUAAAAGCCUACCAAGGCGACGAUCCAUAGCUAGUCUGAGAGGAUGAUCAGCCACACUGGGACUGAGACACGGCCCAGACUCCUACGGGAAGCAGCAGUGGGGAAUAUUGGACAAUGGGCGAAAGCCUGAUCCAGCAAUGCCGCGUGAGUGAUGAAGGCCUUAGGGUUGUAAAGCUCUUUUACCCGGGAUGAUAAUGACAGUACCGGGAGAAUAAGCUCCGGCUAACUCCGUG
RNAcentral lists this ribosomal RNA (433 nucleotides) under uncultured bacterium. Its description in RNAcentral is "partial 16S ribosomal RNA". It matches the Rfam family "Bacterial small subunit ribosomal RNA", at positions 29 to 507 of the family's 1533-position model. The record is from RNAcentral.